Long non-coding RNA from Gavia stellata (red-throated loon), 2952 nucleotides. RefSeq lists it as uncharacterized. The transcript is spliced from 3 exons. Lineage: Eukaryota; Metazoa; Chordata; Aves; Gaviiformes; Gaviidae. The record is from RefSeq and is a predicted model, not a curated record.
CGCUCUUCAAGAGAUGAAGAAUAAAUCAAUUUCCACUUUAAUUGAGAAAUUUUGGAUCAGGACAACUGGGAAUACAGCCACAUGUUAAGAGCAUGACAUAUGGGACCUGAUGGCAGAGUGCUGGGUUCUCCAGAGAUCUUCACCAUUUUUAAAUGCAAUGGAAGUCAGUAUCUGAAAAUGAAGUUCUAUUAAGGAGCUGUAUGUGGCCUCAUCAGUUGUAAAAGUGGGAAAAUACAUAAAGAGUUGGAGAAAUGAAGCACUUCCUCCUAUGGACAGAGAUCUGAAGCACAAACAAAGCGUCCAAAGGCCACCAAAGUUGGAUUUCUGCAGCAUAUAGAGAGAUAGACUGAGAGAUACUUCCACUUCACCUUUUCCAGCUUAAACAUGAACCUUAAGGUGAAUUGUCUGGUGAAUGCGUUUUUGCCUUAGUACAGAAGAAACCUAGAGGACUAGGUUUUGAUUAGACACCUAACUUUGAGAUCGUGCAAGUUGUUUAAGUUAAACCUUAUCCUAAAUGACAAAGUGACCUUAGAUAGUAGAACGUGAACAUUCAUUUUACAGAAACUAUUUCAUAGAGAAGACCAUUUUUCAAAUCCUAUGCCCCCUGUACCAGGAAUUCUCUUUAAUUUAAUCUGUGGAGCUCUCAUCACCUUGUAGGCAUUAUAUUGAUGAAUGAAUAAUAACAAAACAAUGCUUCUUUUCCCUCUGAGUUAUUAUUAGCAUAAAGUAGUAAUAUUUCAUGGAGAGUAAAUUAUUCUUUCUGCUGUGCAAUCAGCCAGCACAGAAACUUGACAAGAACCACUGAGAGAUACACGUUUCAGAACUUCAUUCAAAAGCAUGCUAUAACUAAGAAGGUUUUUGAUUUUUAAAAAUUUUUUCUUCUGUUGUUCUGCAGAAUAUGAAUAAAAUUACUCAGUGAAGGAAUUCUCAACAGAUGGUUACCAUUUCAGCCUCAGAUGGCAGAAAGCCCUAGAACCAAGCAAUUACGGAGUUCUUUGAUGCAGAACCAGCUGAACAGAUUUUAAUAAUUUCUUCCAAAUUGGAGACACCUGGCCCUCCAGAAAGUGCUGUAAGCUGGGUGAUGGAGGUGUGCAAUAGAAAUAUAUUCCUGAUGUCACCAACAAGUUUUUGAUGACAAAAUCAUGAAGACCAAUAGGAAAUAAUUUAAAUAUUACCUUUUUUGUUUUCUACAAUUAAUGCAAUGAAACGUUGCAAAUGGCCCAGUAAAUGAAUUUUUAAAAUACUCUCAGGCAAGAUUGUAUUGUUUUGAUUUUCCAUUGCUGCAAAUGUUUUAUCUCCCUUCAAAGAAAGCUGUACAGGAUAUGGAUACUCAACAACACCAGCUUUUAUUGCUCACCUUUAUAAAGCUCAUGGGCCUAACCCGGAAAGGAUCAGGAAGCACAUGUAAAAUGUAACUUUGUCUUACUUACUCUUAUUCUAUUUUCUUGGUGUAACUCUUGCCUUUGGAAGAUUUAAAAAUAUUCCCCUAGAUGCAAUAUAUGCCUAAGGGAAGCCAUUAGGCCAAACCCACCCAAUGACACUUCUGUGGCAGCUAUCCUGCAUGGAGAGGUUAUUAGGAUAUUAGCAAUACUUGGAUAUUAGGAAAAACUUCUACACUGAAAGUGUUGUCAAACAUUGGAACAGGCUGCCCAGGGAGGUGGUUGAGUCACCAUCCCUGGAGGUUUUUAAAAGACGUGUGGAUGAGGCGCUUAGGAACAUGGUUUAGUGGUGGACUUAGCAGGGUUAGGUGUGCGGUUGGGCUUGAUGAUCUUAAAGGUCUUUUCCAACCUAAACAAUUCUAUGAUUCUAUGAGAGGAAAGGAAAGGGGUAGCCUAAGUUAUUGCUAAGAUUUAGCUUCAUCUGAGUCACUGCCAAAUUAUUCCAUUCUUUUCUCAUUCAUUCAACUCUGUCUCUGCUAUCAGAAGGUCAUGUCUAUCUCAUGCUCAGCAAAGUCCUGUCACAAUCCUGUCUGUGUCUCUAGUACAAGUGAGCUGAAGCAAGCUGCUUGCAUGGCUCUGAUAUGUGAUGUUAGUACUCUGCGUGGCACAAGUACCCUGCAGGGCAUCUGGUAAAUCAGUCCACUCUGCUGGCUGGCAGCUCUGGUCCAUGACCCAAUAGUGCUUGAUAAAGUUGAAAAAUUAGAAAGGAAUUUUAUAAUGUGGUUGCUGGACUUCAUAAUCCAGGAGUUCCCCUCCAAUCCUGUGGUCCAGUUUUCCUUAAAACGUCUCUGUUUCUUGGUAUAAUGCAUUAAAUAAGGUAAUUGUGCCUGUGUUUGUAGAAUAUCAGGUAUUCUCUGAAGUUUGAAGUGUGAGUGUAGGAGCAUAGGAGGAAGUGUACAAAAUGCUCCAUAUUCCAAGUGAAUCUGGUGAAUUAAUUUGUCUGCGUUCAUAAAUUUAAAUGCGACCACUGAACCUAUAUCUUUGGUGCAUUUACUAAUUCUCUAUGUGCUAAAGAAACCAGUGCUUUACAAAUAAUGUACCCUCCUUCACACCAGCACCAGAAUAGCAUUGCUGAAGACCUCACGUUUUCUAAAAAGGAACAAAAGACAAAUAAAAUAACCUUGAUUUUCUCAGAUGACAGUAUUUUGAACUGUUGUGAAAUGGAGCAAGGAGAAGUGAGGGUGAAGAAGUGUCAUGAUUUGCUUUAUGAAGGGGUAUUUCUUAGUCCAAACUGAACAUUUAAAUGGCUGAAGCUUGCAUCCCAAGCUUUCUCUACAUAUACAGUAUGGCCAAGAUAAUGCAUUUUCUAGCUUGGAUACUUUCAUGUGUUUAGAAUCAGAUUUCACUUUCAUGAAAAUCAAAAUUGAAAAGCUCCCUGUGCAUAAGAUACACAAACUCAGUACAGAUAUAACACAACCUUCUGGUUUUCCUUGUCCAAAUUGUAUUUGACUGAUAUGUGUUAUGUUAUCAUAUACAAUAGCUUUUUACAAUGUAUAUCUGGCAAAGUUAUCCA